UACGUAGGACGCAAGCGUUAUCCGGAGUUACUGGGCGUAAAGCGCGUGCAGGCGGCCUCGCAAGUCUGAUGUGAAAGCACUCGGCUCAACCGAGUGAUGCCAUUGGAAACUACAAGGCUGGAGUCUGGCAGAGGUAGGCGGAAUUCCGGGUGGAGUGGUGAAAUGCGUAGAGAUCCGGAGGAACACCAGAGGCGAAGGCGGCCUACUGGGCCAGUACUGACGCUGAGCCGCGAAAGCCAGGGGAGCGAACGGG
Molecule: ribosomal RNA, 253 nt
Filed under: uncultured bacterium
Lineage: Bacteria
Description: partial 16S ribosomal RNA
Rfam family: Bacterial small subunit ribosomal RNA
Source: RNAcentral